RNAcentral lists this ribosomal RNA (311 nucleotides) under uncultured Lachnospiraceae bacterium. RNAcentral's name for it is "partial 16S ribosomal RNA". Lineage: Bacteria; Bacillati; Bacillota; Clostridia; Lachnospirales; Lachnospiraceae. The record is from RNAcentral.
GGAGUCUGGGCCGUGUCUCAGUCCCAAUGUGGCCGUUCACCCUCUCAGGCCGGCUACCGAUCGUCGCCUUGGUGGGCCUCUAUCUCACCAACUAGCUAAUCGGACGCGGGCCCAUCGGAAAGCGGAUUGAUUCCUUUAGUACAAGAAGCAUGCGCCUCUCGUACAACAUUCGGUAUUAGCACCCCUUUCGGGAUGUUGUCCCCAUCUUUCCGGCAGGUUGCCCACGCGUUACUCACCCGUUUGCCACUAGGCUUUAAAAAGCAAGCUUUCUAUCGCCCCGUUCGACUUGCAUGUGUUAAGCACGCCGCCAG